Molecule: ribosomal RNA, 375 nt
Filed under: uncultured bacterium
Lineage: Bacteria
Description: bacterial SSU rRNA
Rfam family: Bacterial small subunit ribosomal RNA
Source: RNAcentral
UACAGAGGGUGCGAGCGUUAAUCGGAAUUACUGGGCGUAAAGCGCACGUAGUCGGCUUUGCAAGUCGGUUGUGAAAUCCCCGGGCUCAACCUGGGAACUGCAUCCGAGACUGCAUUGCUAGAGUAUGGGAGAGGAAAGCGGAAUUUCUGGUGUAGCAGUGAAAUGCGUAGAUAUCAGAAGGAACAUCAGUGGCGAAGGCGGCUUUCUGGACCAAUACUGACGAUCAGGUGCGAAAGCGUGGGGAGCAAACAGGAUUAGAUACCCUGGUAGUCCACGCCCUAAACGAUGACAACUGGAUGUCGGGAGGGUUUGCCUUCCGGUGUCGUAGCUAACGCGUUAAGUUGUCCGCCUGGGAAGUACGGCCGCAAGGUUGAA